This 496-nucleotide ribosomal RNA is filed under the name uncultured bacterium. RNAcentral describes it as "partial 16S ribosomal RNA". It matches the Rfam family "Bacterial small subunit ribosomal RNA", at positions 29 to 507 of the family's 1533-position model. The record is from RNAcentral.
AUGAACGCUGGCGGCGUGCCUAAUACAUGCAAGUCGAGCGAACGGACGAGAAGCUUGCUUCUCUGAUGUUAGCGGCGGACGGGUGAGUAACACGUGGAUAACCUACCUAUAAGACUGGGAUAACUUCGGGAAACCGGAGCUAAUACCGGAUAAUAUUUUGAACCGCAUGGUUCAAAAGUGAAAGACGGUCUUGCUGUCACUUAUAGAUGGAUCCGCGCUGCAUUAGCUAGUUGGUAAGGUAACGGCUUACCAAGGCAACGAUGCAUAGCCGACCUGAGAGGGUGAUCGGCCACACUGGAACUGAGACACGGUCCAGACCCCUACGGGAGGCAGCAGUAGGGAAUCUUCCGCAAUGGGCGAAAGCCUGACGGAGCAACGCCGCGUGAGUGAUGAAGGUCUUCGGAUCGUAAAACUCUGUUAUUAGGGAAGAACAUAUGUGUAAGUAACUGUGCACAUCUUGACGGUACCUAAUCAGAAAGCCACGGCUAACUACGUG